AGCCACUGUGAGCUCCUCAUACGGUAUUUGAGCUGUUUGUGCUGCCUGAGUUUUGUAUCUCAGGAUAAUUUCCCUUUAUUUCCUUAGUGUUUUAUUCUUUGGUUGGGUUCAGAGGGAAAAUGAAUGGUGGAAAUCUGAACAUGCUUUGACCUCCUUUUCCAGUUUGUAAACGUAGGUUUUUGGAAUAAUGGCACAUUUCCAAAAAUAAAAGGUACUGUGAGUUAUCAUGGAGGUGAGAGGUGGGAAACCAGUAUUUGA
RNAcentral lists this long non-coding RNA (258 nucleotides) under Bos taurus (domestic cattle). RNAcentral's name for it is "long non-coding RNA NONBTAT023419". The record is from RNAcentral. Lineage: Eukaryota; Metazoa; Chordata; Mammalia; Artiodactyla; Bovidae.